Molecule: unclassified non-coding RNA, 373 nt
Filed under: soil metagenome
Description: partial contains 5.8S ribosomal RNA, internal transcribed spacer 2, and large subunit ribosomal RNA
Rfam family: 5.8S ribosomal RNA (bases 1-121)
Source: RNAcentral
GAUGAAGAACGUAGCGAAAUGCGAUAAGUAAUGCGAAUUGCAGAAUUCCAGUGAGUCAUCGAAUCUUUGAACGCACAUUGCGCCCUUUGGUAUUCCGAAGGGCAUGCCUGUUCGAGCGUCAUUAUCACCCCUCAAGCCCUCGGCUUGGUGUUGGACGGUUUGGUGGAGGCCCCCUCGGGGGCUCCUGCCCCUCCCAAAGACAAUGACGGCGGCCUCGUUGGACCCCCGGUACACUGAGUUCUUCACGGGACACGUAUCGGACACAUGGGUUUACGGGACACGGUCUGCCUCCCCUCAGGGAGAAUCUUUCUAAGGUUGACCGCGGAUCAGGUAGGGAUACCCGCUGAACUUAAGCAUAUCAAUAAGCGGAGGA